GAUGAACGCUAGCGGCAGGCCUAACACAUGCAAGUCGAGGGAGAGGUUACCUUCGGGUAACCAAAACCGGCGCACGGGUGCGUAACGCGUAUACAAUCUGCCUUUCACAUAGGGAUAGCCCGAAGAAAUUUGGAUUAAUACCUAAUGGUAUAUAAGAGCGGCAUCGUUUUUAUAUUAAAGCUACGGUGGUGAAAGAUGAGUAUGCGUUCUAUUAGCUAGUUGGAGAGGUAACGGCUCCCCAAGGCGACGAUAGAUAGGGGUUCUGAGAGGGAUGUCCCCACACUGGUACUGAGAUACGGACCAGACUCCUACGGGAGGCAGCAGUGAGGAAUAUUGGACAAUGGUCGGAAGACUGAUCCAGCCAUGCCGCGUGCAGGAUGAAGGUCCUAUGGAUUGUAAACUGCUUUUGUAAGGGAAGAAUAAGGAGUACGUGUACUUUGAUGACGGUACCUUACGAAUAAGCAUCGGCUAACUCCGUGCCAGCAGCCGCGGUAAUACGGAGGAUGCGAGCGUUAUCCGGAAUCAUUGGGUUUAAAGGGUCCGUAGGCGGGCUGAUAAGUCAGAGGUGAAAGCGCUUAGCUCAACUAAGCAACUGCCUUUGAAACUGUCAGUCUUGAAUGAUUGUGAAGUAGUUGGAAUGUGUAGUGUAGCGGUGAAAUGCUUAGAUAUUACACAGAACACCGAUAGCGAAGGCAUAUUACUAACAAUUUAUUGACGCUGAUGGACGAAAGCGUGGGGAGCGAACAGG
Molecule: ribosomal RNA, 748 nt
Filed under: uncultured Capnocytophaga sp.
Lineage: Bacteria; Pseudomonadati; Bacteroidota; Flavobacteriia; Flavobacteriales; Flavobacteriaceae
Description: bacterial SSU rRNA
Rfam family: Bacterial small subunit ribosomal RNA
Source: RNAcentral